Non-coding RNA from Pelobates cultripes (western spadefoot toad), 249 nucleotides. NCBI's taxonomy places the organism in Eukaryota, Metazoa, Chordata, Amphibia, Anura, Pelobatidae. The record is from the annotation of a GenBank genome assembly.
CUUAAGCAUCCUUCCUCAGAACAGGCCUUAUCUGUUUCAGCCAUAAGAACAUUCAAGGUUGACUCUGGUAGAGAUUUAGAUGGCAAAUGGAGAAGGUGGGAUGUACCUCAGAACAAGAGGGAUAAUGAGAACUGGAGACCAAAACAGGACUUUGACAAAAGAUGGAGAGAUCCACAGAGGGACCAUAGGAAUAGGGACAGUUCUAAAGGAAGUAAUGUAAUGGGAGAUAAUUGGAAAAAUAGAUGGGAG